Molecule: long non-coding RNA, 246 nt
Filed under: Gossypium barbadense (sea-island cotton)
Lineage: Eukaryota; Viridiplantae; Streptophyta; Magnoliopsida; Malvales; Malvaceae
Description: long non-coding RNA (GBAR_LNC008701)
Source: RNAcentral
AAAAAUAGAAUAAUGAAAGCUAAUUUAAGCGCCGACAUACAAAAUUAGUAAACUUAUUUCUCAUCUAACCUUAAUUAUAGUACCGAUUGAGGCUUAGUUCGAUUUGUAUGAAUAUUAUUGUUAAUAUAGUUAGAUAUGAGUUGAGUAUACUUUAAGAUAUUAUCCUCUUAUUUAUGGGUUAUAAAAGAACUAUGGUUAAUUUUAGAUAUUGGGUCAAAUAGAGGUGGAUACAAGUGUGGCUAGCAG